Molecule: ribosomal RNA, 1559 nt
Filed under: Deltaproteobacteria bacterium CG_4_9_14_0_2_um_filter_42_21
Lineage: Bacteria; Deltaproteobacteria
Also listed under: 1 other name
Description: bacterial SSU rRNA
Rfam family: Bacterial small subunit ribosomal RNA
Source: RNAcentral
UUAAACUGGAGAGUUUGAUUCUGGCUCAGAACGAACGCUGGCGGCGUGCCUAACACAUGCAAGUCGAACGCGAAUUUCCCUUCGGGGAUUUGUAGCGUGGCGCACGGGUGAGUAACGCGUAGGUAAUCUACCUAUUACUGGGGAAUAACUCCGGGAAACCGGGGCUAAUACCGCAUAAGUUCCUUAUUUUUCGAUUUAAGGAAGAAAGGCAGCCUCUCCUUGGAAGCUGUCGGUGAUAGAUGAGCCUGCGUAGCAUUAGCUUGUUGGUGGGGUAAUGGCCUACCAAGGCGACGAUGCUUAGCUGGUCUGAGAGGAUGAUCAGCCACACUGGAACUGAAACACGGUCCAGACUCCUACGGGAGGCAGCAGUGGGGAAUAUUGCGCAAUGGGCGAAAGCCUGACGCAGCAACGCCGUGUGAGUGAUGAAGGUUUUCGGAUCGUAAAGCUCUGUCAGGAGGGAAGAAACCGUAGAGAGUUAAUAGCUCUUUACCUUGACGGUACCUCCAAAGGAAGCACCGGCUAACUCCGUGCCAGCAGCCGCGGUAAUACGGAGGGUGCUAGCGUUGUUCGGAAUUACUGGGCGUAAAGCGCAUGUAGGCGGAUAGAGAAGUCGGGUGUGAAAGCCCUGGGCUCAACCUAGGAAGUGCGCCCGAAACCAUCUAUCUAGAGUAUCGGAGAGGAUUGGGGAAUUCCCGGUGUAGAGGUGAAAUUCGUAGAUAUCGGGAGGAACACCAGUUGCGAAAGCGCCAAUCUGGAAGAUAACUGACGCUCAGAUGCGAAAGCGUGGGUAGCAAACAGGAUUAGAUACCCUGGUAGUCCACGCCGUAAACGAUGUGCACUAGGUGUUGAGAGUAUCGACCCUCUCAGUGCCGACGGUAACCCAUUAAGUGCACCGCCUGGGAAGUACGGCCGCAAGGUUGAAACUCAAAGGAAUUGACGGGGGCCCGCACAAGCGGUGGAGUAUGUGGUUUAAUUCGACGCAACGCGAAAAACCUUACCUGGACUUGACAUCUGGAAAAGGCUGUAGAGAUACGGCUGUGCCCUUCGGGGAAUUCCAAGACAGGUGCUGCAUGGCUGUCGUCAGCUCGUGUCGUGAGAUGUUGGGUUAAGUCCCGCAACGAGCGCAACCCCUGUCCUUAGUUGCUAACAGUUCGGCUGAGCACUCUAGGGAGACCGCCGGUGUUAAACCGGAGGAAGGUGGGGAUGACGUCAAGUCCUCAUGGCCUUUAUGUCCAGGGCUACACACGUACUACAAUGGCCAGUACAAAGGGUCGCCAAGCCGCAAGGUGGAGCUAAUCCCAAAAAGCUGGUCCAAGUUCGGAUUGGAGUCUGCAACUCGACUCCAUGAAGUUGGAAUCGCUAGUAAUCGCUGAUCAGCAUGCAGCGGUGAAUACGUUCCCGGGCCUUGUACACACCGCCCGUCACACCACGAAAGGUGUCUAUACCAGAAGUGCGUGGUCUAACCACGUGAGGAAGCGUACCAAGGUAUGGGCGCUGAUUGGGGUGAAGUCGUAACAAGGUAGCCGUAGGGGAACCUGCGGCUGGAUCACCUCCUUUCU